This 253-nucleotide unclassified non-coding RNA is filed under the name uncultured Sphingobacteriales bacterium. RNAcentral's name for it is "contains 16S-23S intergenic spacer region". It matches the Rfam family "Bacterial small subunit ribosomal RNA", at positions 524 to 776 of the family's 1533-position model. The record is from RNAcentral. Lineage: Bacteria; Pseudomonadati; Bacteroidota; Sphingobacteriia; Sphingobacteriales.
UACGGAGGGUGCAAGCGUUAUCCGGAUUCAUUGGGUUUAAAGGGUGCGUAGGCGGACGCAUAAGUCAGUGGUGAAAUCUCCAGGCUUAACUUGGAAACUGCCAUUGAUACUGUGUGUCUUGAGUACAGAUGAUGUUGGCGGAAUAUAACAUGUAGCGGUGAAAUGCAUAGAUAUGUCAUAGGACACCGAUUGCGAAGGCAGCUAACGAAACUAUAACUGACGCUGAGGCACGAAAGUGCGGGGAUCAAACAGG